GAUGAAGAACGCAGCGAAAUGCGAUAAGUAGUGUGAAUUGCAGAAUUCAGUGAAUCAUCGAAUCUUUGAACGCACAUUGCGCCCCUUGGUAUCCCGAGGGGCAUGCCUGUUCGAGCGUCAUUUCACCACUCAAGCCUGGCUUGGUGUUGGGCGACGUCCCCUUUGGGGACGCGCCUCGAAACGCUCGGCGGCGUGGCACCGGCUUUAAGCGUAGCAGAAUCUUUCGCUUUGGAAGUCGGGGCCCCGUCUCCCGGAAGACCUACUCGCAAGGUUGACCUCGGAUCAGGCAGGGAUACCCGCUGAACUUAAGCAUAUCAAUAAGCGGAGGA
Molecule: unclassified non-coding RNA, 329 nt
Filed under: soil metagenome
Description: partial contains 5.8S ribosomal RNA, internal transcribed spacer 2, and large subunit ribosomal RNA
Rfam family: 5.8S ribosomal RNA (bases 1-120)
Source: RNAcentral